GACGAACGCUGGCGGCGUGCUUAACACAUGCAAGUCAAGGGGGCCCGCAAGGGCAACCGGCGAACGGGUGCGUAACACGUGAGCAAGCUUCCGAUUUGUGGGGGAUAGCCGGCCCAACGGCCGGGUAAUACCGCAUACGUUCACUGGACGGCAUCGUCUGGUGAGGAAACCUCCGGGGCAAAUCGAGGCGCUCGCGGCCUAUCAGCUAGUUGGCGGGGUAAUGGCCCACCAAGGCUACGACGGGUAGCUGGUCUGAGAGGAUGGCCAGCCACAUUGGGACUGCGACACGGCCCAGACUCCUACGGGAGGCAGCAGUGGGGAAUAUUGCGCAAUGGACGAAAGUCUGACGCAGCGACGCCGCGUGUGGGAUGAAGCCUUUCGGGGCGUAAACCACUGUUGCCCGGGACGAAACUCCUUUUUCGAGAGGAUUGACGGUACCGGGUGAGGAAGCACCGGCUAACUCUGUG
Molecule: ribosomal RNA, 467 nt
Filed under: uncultured bacterium
Lineage: Bacteria
Description: bacterial SSU rRNA
Rfam family: Bacterial small subunit ribosomal RNA
Source: RNAcentral